Long non-coding RNA from Sander lucioperca (pikeperch), 367 nucleotides. RefSeq lists it as uncharacterized. The transcript has 2 exons. Lineage: Eukaryota; Metazoa; Chordata; Actinopteri; Perciformes; Percidae. The record is from RefSeq and is a predicted model, not a curated record.
ACAAUAGAGUUCUAUAUUGUGCCCAAUGCUUAUUCUUAACCUGUAAAGUAAUACAUUGUCACCCAACAAUGAAAAUUGUGGUCUUUACCCCCUAUUUCCUGUAGGUCAAAGGGCUUGAUUAUGUGUUUCUGUUUUGCUCCUGAUCCUAAACUGAGUCCUUUCCUAUUGAGCUUUUUGUGGUAGGAAGAGGAUCCUUUUACAUGUCUGUGCCCAGGCGCUCUUUGUGUCACAAUACGUCCAUGUCAACAGUAUGAAAAACAUGUGUGCCAAAUUAUUUCUUGGUAAAAAAAACUGUGUCAAUGUGUGUUAACGUUAAUCUGAAAAUGAAUCAAUAAUGUCAAGUAUUCACAAUUUGUCAUUGUAUUAU